GACGAACGCUGGCGGCGUGCCUAAUACAUGCAAGUCGAGCGGAACUGGGGGAGCUUGCUCCUUCCAGUUUAGCGGCGGACGGGUGAGUAACACGUGGGCAACCUGCCCUGCAGAUCGGGAUAACUCCGGGAAACCGGUGCUAAUACCGAAUAGUUUGGCGCCUCUCCUGAGGCGCUACGGAAAGACGGUUUCGGCUGUCACUGCAGGAUGGGCCCGCGGCGCAUUAGCUAGUUGGUGGGGUAACGGCCCACCAAGGCGACGAUGCGUAGCCGACCUGAGAGGGUGACCGGCCACACUGGGACUGAGACACGGCCCAGACUCCUACGGGAGGCAGCAGUAGGGUAUCUUCCGCAAUGAACGCAAGUCUGACGGAGCAACGCCGCGUGAGUGACGAAGGUUCUCGGAUCGUAAAACUCUGUUGUGAGGGAAGAACACGUACCAACUAACUAUUGGUACCUUGACGGUACCUCGCCAGAAAGCCACGGCUAACUACGUGCCAGCCGCCGCAGUAA
Molecule: ribosomal RNA, 512 nt
Filed under: uncultured bacterium
Lineage: Bacteria
Description: partial 16S ribosomal RNA
Rfam family: Bacterial small subunit ribosomal RNA
Source: RNAcentral